Molecule: non-coding RNA, 41 nt
Filed under: Trypanosoma brucei brucei
Lineage: Eukaryota; Euglenozoa; Kinetoplastea; Trypanosomatida; Trypanosomatidae
Source: RNAcentral
AAUGCAAAUAGAGAUUGGUAUGUGAUGAUGAAGGUAAUAUA